GACGGGGUCUGGGGCAGAAAAGAAGGGAGGCUGGAGAAAUCUGGACCCGAGACGUAGUAAGUACAACUUGGCAAAUACAUGUUAGAGGAGCAGGGACCACGCUCAUCAAAAUCCAUCAUUGGGCUACCUUGGGCUUUCCGCAGUAGCCGAGCUUAACAUGAUUCUCCACUGCAGCUGCCUCUUUGAAGCGGAUCCGUGAAGUAGAAAUUUGGAGACGUAAGCUGACGUGGAAAUCUAUCCCCAUCCUUAGCAGGGAGGUGCUGGUCAUGUGACCCGAUGUUGAAAUUGACAAGCUGCUAGCUAGUCCGGGCCUUUCCCCCCCCCUUUCCUUUCCUUUCUUCCACCCCCCCCCCCCCGCCCCCGGCUUCCUUUCUUUGUAGCCACCUCAAGGGAAGCAACAGAUCGUCACUCGGUGUUCUCACCGAAAGCACGUAAUCGCCGGUGUAACUCAUGUUGGCUGGGGGGGCCUCCCGGCGCGCGGCGAGGCUGGGUGCUACCCCGUGCCAAUUGCUUGUGCUCAGCUGCACGGUCCUGGCCCUCGAGUGCGCCGAGGGCGGUGAGAGAGCUCAACUCCUGCCACCCACCACUCCCCGGGUGAGGGAAGCCACAGGCUGGGGGUGGCCGGGUGGGAGCUCGUCGCUGCGUGGCCCGUGCGUGGUCUUGGAAUCUAUUCGCCUGGAGGCUCGCGUUCGCACCUCCUUCUUGGCUGUCCCCCUCCCACAGGCUUGCUUUGGGAACCACCUCUGCCUCCGACUUUGGCCGGACCCCCUUCGGGCCAGGGUUUGCAGCCGUGGAUGUGCCUGCCUCGUGGCUCGCCCGAUUUGCACGGUGACUUGAUUACACGCUCGCAUUCAUGGUCACUUCCGAAGCGCUUUAGUGCCUUCCGUCCCUAAACCGCCAACAACCUGGGCGGCUUCCCCCGCGGUUUGUCAGGGAUCCGCAGGUCCCGGAAAGCCCUUCGUCUCACCCGGGAUCCACCUCCCUUUCAUUCUCCCUGCCGGCCUCCUCACCCCACGCCCUGCCCUUGGAGAAACCCGCUCCUCCUCGCUGUCUGCCGGGGUUCGGAGUGACACCGCAGAGCCAGAGGCGUGGGAGCUGCGCCGCUGCGCAUUGGUCCGCCCGCCCCCCUGCCGGGUCUUCUGGAGCUGAGGACUCGGGGAACCAUGGAAUUGAGGCGAGCCUUGGGCUGCUUUAGAGGCGCUGACAUCCAAGGAGACAUCUCCUGGGUAUGCUGCACCUUCCGGGAGCCCACAGCUGAGCUCCAGAGCUGUAGGGAGAGUCGGGGCAGUGAGCAGGGGGCGAGGGCCAGGGAGCCGUGGCUGAGAAAGGGGUAACACGCCACCUUUCCUCUGCAAAGCUUGAGAGCCAGGGAUGUGCAGGACAGAAACUCAGAAGGCUCGGCGCCUUUCCGGCUACUCAUCCCACAGAAGGGACACAAUGCCAGAGAAAAGAGACGUCUUUCUGAACCUCCCAGCACCUUGGGUGAAAAGAACGCUUUGAAAAGGCUAGGUUUGAGCUAAAGAGAGAGACAGAGGCCAUAGCAGCUAGUAUGAGUCUAGCUUUCUUGGGAAGAGGAGAGAAAAAAAAAUGAAAUGGUGAAAAAUGCUUGCCAUCCUGCAGGACUGAAUGAACAAUGUUUGGGAGAAGCAGAAGAGGAGGGCAUAGAGCAGUCAGGCAGGGCCAGGCGCUGGGAGGGGUCCAGCUCUGAGGCCUCCCCACACCUAUCUUCUUGGAAGGAACUCGAUGUCGCUGAAGGAAAGUUGAAAAAUGAAAAAGAAUAACCUUUUCCCUUUCCCCAUCCAGGAAAUUGCCGAAGGGGUUGCGUAUCACAAAUCAAACUACUCCGACACAUUGGUUUAAUGAACGCUUUAUUCAGGAUUGGCUGCAAGAACUUCCAUGCCCCUUGAAUCCCUGAGAGCUGAACUUGAAAUUAUUUGUGCAUCUCCAGCUUGACAUAUUUGGCCACUGUGGCUUGUGCAGAGGGCAGUAUCGGGGAGGCCCAACAGCCAAGCUGAGCCCACCCGGCUCAAGAGAACACCCGACCGGGGGGGUGCUAAGGCUGCCCUGGAAGGCCAAGUGCGAGUUGCACUUUUUGAAGAGUCCAAGAUGGGCAUGGCUGUGACAUUGGCCCUGGAGACUGGUUUCCCAUGAGUUGUUCUUUCUCAGGAGCUCCACAGUGUGAGGCCAUCUCCAGAAAACAGUCUUCAGUGUGUAUUUCCUUUUAUCGUCAACCCGGAGCCCCACGGCAGCUAAUGCAAGAGGCCAAAAAUGUUUGGGAGGAAGAAAAACAAAGGCAGGAAGUGGCGGCAGCUUGACGGUGCGUGUGUGUCUGCGGAGAAGGGAGGGAGCCCUUUCAAUCUCUUCUUGUUUUUCCAAACUUCAGGGUCCAGGCAGCCCUCGCAGGGCCGGCCCGUUGCUCCCCGCGCAGCAUUUGGAGAUGGCCACCCGGAGAGGAGAAGGCUGGCGCCGGAGCCAGCCUUGUCAGGCGGAAACGGCUAACGAGGCGAUUUGCUCAGCAAAGCAGACCAAGCCUUUCCAAACUUCAUUUGAUUUGGCCCUAAAAGUGGGGGGUUGGGGGAAUUCUGCAACACCUCCCGGACCCUCCUUGGCGGGUGGGCUGAGUGCUCCGUGGCGGGGAUUCGGGAGCCCUGCACUCCACGCGCCUUCCCAGGCGGGAUAUGGGAAUAAAGUGUGUCCAGAUGCCUCUG
This is a long non-coding RNA of Eubalaena glacialis (North Atlantic right whale), 2708 nucleotides long. RefSeq lists it as uncharacterized. The transcript has 3 exons. The record is from RefSeq and is a predicted model, not a curated record. NCBI's taxonomy places the organism in Eukaryota, Metazoa, Chordata, Mammalia, Artiodactyla, Balaenidae.